CCUACGGGAGGCAGCAGUGGGGGAUAUUGCACAAUGGGGGAAACCCUGAUGCAGCGACGCCGCGUGGGUGAAGAAGCGCCUCGGCGCGUAAAGCCCUGUCAGCAGGGAAGAAAAUGACGGUACCUGAAGAAGAAGCCCCGGCCAACUACGUUCCAGCAGCCGCGGUAAUACGGAGGGGGCAGGCGUUAUCCGGAUUUACCGGGUGUAAAGGGGGUGCAGUAGGCUAUUCAAGCCAGGAGUGAAAGAGCGCGGCCCAAUCGCGGGACUGCCAUCGGUACUGCGUGGCUAGAGUGCAGGAGGGGUAGGCGGAAUUCCGGGUGUAGCGGUGAAAUGCGUAGAUAUCAGGAAGAACACCGGUGGCGAAGGCAGCCUGCUAAACUGCAACUGACGUUGAGGCCCGAAAGCGUGGGGAGCAAACAGGAUUAGAUACCCCAGUAGUC
This 440-nucleotide ribosomal RNA is filed under the name uncultured bacterium. Its description in RNAcentral is "partial 16S ribosomal RNA". It matches the Rfam family "Bacterial small subunit ribosomal RNA", at positions 338 to 795 of the family's 1533-position model. The record is from RNAcentral.